This 95-nucleotide transfer RNA is filed under the name Candidatus Woesearchaeota archaeon CG10_big_fil_rev_8_21_14_0_10_45_16. RNAcentral describes it as "tRNA-Arg". It matches the Rfam family "tRNA". Rfam says of the family: Transfer RNA (tRNA) molecules are approximately 80 nucleotides in length. Their secondary structure includes four short double-helical elements and three loops (D, anti-codon, and T loops). The record is from RNAcentral. Lineage: Archaea; Nanobdellati; Candidatus Woesearchaeota.
GGACUCGUAGCCUAGACUGGAUGUCUUUUUGGCAAGUCAAAUAGGGCGACAGCCUCCUAAGCUGUAGGUCGGGGGUUCAAAUCCUCCCGAGUCCG